AAGUAAGAAGCGAUUAAUUGCAAUUAGUUUCGACCUAAUCUUAGAUAUUAUUAUAUCGCGUUAUUUU
RNAcentral lists this transfer RNA (67 nucleotides) under Orohermes crepusculus. Its description in RNAcentral is "tRNA-Arg". The record is from RNAcentral. Lineage: Eukaryota; Metazoa; Arthropoda; Insecta; Megaloptera; Corydalidae.